This 514-nucleotide ribosomal RNA is filed under the name uncultured bacterium. RNAcentral describes it as "partial 16S ribosomal RNA". It matches the Rfam family "Bacterial small subunit ribosomal RNA", at positions 28 to 523 of the family's 1533-position model. The record is from RNAcentral.
GAUGAACGCUGGCGGCGUGCCUAAUACAUGCAAGUCGAGCGAACAGAUGAGGAGCUUGCUCCUCAUAAUCGAGCGGCGGACGGGUGCGUAACACGUAGGCAACCUACCCUUGAGAUUGGGAUAACUACCGGAAACGGUAGCUAAUAACGGAUACGACUUUUGCACACAAGUGGAAUGGUUAAAAGGCGGAUUUAUCUUCCGCUCAUGGAUGGGCUUGCGGUGCAUUAGCUAGUUGGUGGGGUAGUGGCUCACCAAGGCGACGAUGCAUAGCCGACCUGAGAGGGUGAUCGGCCACACUGGGACUGAGACACGGCCCAGACUCCUACGGGAGGCAGCAGUAGGGAAUCUUCCGCAAUGGGCGCAAGUCUGACGGAGCAACGCCGCGUGAGUGAUGAAGGGUUUCGGGUCGUAAAACUCUGUUGUUAAGGAAGAACACUUGAGGUAGUAACUGGCCUUGAGAUGACGGUACUCAACCAGAAAGCCACGGCUAACUACGUGCCAGCCGCCGCCGUAA